CGCCUGAUGACUUCUCCAAAGACGCUUCCCUGGGAAUCGAUAACCACCGCUCUCCGUUUCCCUCCGUCUCUCUCUCUCUCUCUCUCUCUCUGAACGUCACCAGGACAGACACAGAGAGCUCAUUUAUGAAGGAAAGGCACAUUUGCAUAUGGAAAAAUAAUUAAAACAAACAAAGUGAAGCCGGGCCCCCCCGGAGAGGCGAGGAGAGGUGGGGGAGGAGAUCACCCAGCUGCAUGUUUCCAGUUUACCCAGUCUGGGGUGUGAGAGGAUGAGGAAGAGGAGGAGGAGGUGGAGGUGGGAGCAGCAUCCAGAGGAAGACACAUGUAAACCCAUUUCCAAACAAACGGGCCAGUGUGCACGGCGCCGCCCGGCGUAAUGCCUGAAUGAAUCAACGCGAGCGACCGCACAACAGGACAUGGCGGCCAUUUAACACUGGUGGGCCGAUGGUGAUUAUACUGUACACAUGCAGAAAUGAAACCAGUUAACCAGUUGAUGUUGAGGCUCACACAUGUUUACACUCCAGAAAGUUCUCCAUUUUUAUUUAAAGGCCUUUGUGCAGUCAGAACUGACCUGCAGCCAUAUUGUGGGAGUAGAUUUAGUGAUGUGAGGGGGAGGGUUAGCCAAAAUUAGAUCCUAAAUCAUACAAAUGUAUAAUUAAUAAUGAUGAAUUAUGAAUGUAAGAAUGUGGAUUUGAUCUGUUAACUAAUAUAUAAACAACAACUAUGCAUGAAUAUGCAUUAAAACACAGUGGACAGCAUCUUAGCACUGCCAUAGAAGCUAACAUCUACCAUCUUCCUUAUCUCCACUUUUUAGGUGUUCAGCCAAUCAACACCAAGGAAAAUAAACGGCACUCCGUGAUUGGCUCCUCCGCAAACCAGCCAAUAGAAAGUCAGCUAGCAUUGAGCUCAAGUAUUUCAGCCACAUUUUCUUUAACCAUAUUUGAUAUGCUGUAUGAAAAAUAUAAAUGUGACAAAUAAUGCAAAUUUUCUGUCAAUAGUCUAAAGUCGAGUUCCAAAGAAAAUCCACCAAUAGCUUCCAUUUGAAUCACAGCUACACGCAGCUUUAAAUGAUGUUGUUCAUGUCAUGUAGCUCAUGUUCAUGUUUAAUUUAAUUUUUAAUUUUACAAAAUGAGUGUGUGUAAGACGGGAGCUGCAGCUGAAAUUCACCUGCUCAUCUAAAAUGUUGCUUUUGCAAUUUCACUUUUCUUCCUCACGCUUAAAAUCCAGCUUUUACUUUGAAAAGCUGCAGCUCAGAUUACAGCACUGGAUGCUAAAGCUUCCAGCGCAGACAGGAACCAUAAAGACCCGCAGAUGACAUUUCCUCCCGUCUCCCUCAUGAAUAUCAAAGCCAGGCCAGAAAAACAAGGCAGGGCAUUACAGCCCUAUUAUUGUAUUUGCAUUCCUCAUAACAGGCGGCGUAUUGGUUGCUGUAUUUAUUGCCUCAUCAGCGCGGCGUAGCUGCUAGCAGCGGCUGAUUUAUUAGCCCAACGUCACAUGGAGCAAGUUGGCGAAUGGAGCGGAGGAAGGUUUUCCUGCUGGUGGACUUUCCUGGGGAUUGGCUUCUCUCCUGGCCCGGAGCCAGGUCAAGACUUCUACCUGCACAGCUCUACGUCCGGCUCAAUGUUUCCGUUUUUGUUUUGGAGAGUUUCUUGGAACUGCAGCCGAGGUUCUCCGCUCGUCUCUUUUUUCCAAUCUUUCUGGGAUUUGGGGUGAUUUGCGCCGCGCUCCCCAAGGGAAAUAAAUACUUUGAUUAAUGUAAUCCUGGGGAGGCUGAUGUCCCUCCCCUCCCCCACCUGUUCCUCAGGGACUGCUCAGCAAAACAAAAACAAGAAGAAGAAAAAGAAAUGAGCAGAGAGCGACAACUGGACGAGUGCAGACUGGAUUUGUUUCGUUUAUUAAUUAGUGCGCCUUUAAUGCUCAGCAUCAGUCUUGAUUAGCAUGUAGCACUAAUGUAGCGCAGGACAGUCUGCAUAAACUCACGCUCGUGACUCCUGGAAGUGGGGACAUUACGCUGGGUGACACUGCUGGGGAUACAUAUGCAAAGCUGAAACAACUUUCCAGUGCUCAAAUAAUUCCUUGAGAACAAGAAUUUGAUGUGCAAGUUUAAAUUUAUUACAUAGUUUCUAUUGUUGAACCAGAUGGCAAAAAUAGUGGCAGCAUGAUCCUGUGGGAUACGUGUAGCAUGAAGGAGAAGAGAGGCAGGAGUUUGGUUCUCGAAAAAUAACUGAAAGCAAAAGUUAAA
This is a long non-coding RNA of Poecilia latipinna (sailfin molly), 2241 nucleotides long. RefSeq lists it as uncharacterized. The transcript is spliced from 2 exons. The record is from RefSeq and is a predicted model, not a curated record. NCBI's taxonomy places the organism in Eukaryota, Metazoa, Chordata, Actinopteri, Cyprinodontiformes, Poeciliidae.